RNAcentral lists this long non-coding RNA (1590 nucleotides) under Nicotiana tabacum (common tobacco). Its description in RNAcentral is "long non-coding RNA (NTAB_LNC003014)". Lineage: Eukaryota; Viridiplantae; Streptophyta; Magnoliopsida; Solanales; Solanaceae. The record is from RNAcentral.
AAGAACGGCACUUCAAAAAGUCUUGGCUCUAGGAUUUGUAAUAUAACCAUUGCUUUUAUUUAAAGAAGACAACUAUUAUUCCCUUAAUUUUCUUGCUUUCUCCAACUAGUUAAAGUUGAUCGGGUACUUUACUUUCUCACAAAAGUUGAAAUCAAGCUGGUCACAUAUCUUUUGAGAUUAGUUGGUUUCAAGUCCUCAACUAAGGACAAAGUUUUCACUGAAGACUUAGAGCUUUCAUUACAAGAUGGAGUUUACAUGAUGCUCGAAGGAUGUGAUACUGCAUAAAGACGAGGUAGAAAUCUCGGAGUGGUGCAUGUACGGGUCGUCUAUUUUAGAAUUUCCUUGAUGGAACUGAAAAAUGGUAGAAGCAUACUACAUGGUCGGAGAUGAGAGAAUUUUUUUUUUUUUGAAGUAUUUAAGCACCUUAGUAAGCUACAAUCAUAUUCAAUGUUCAUCCUUCUUCUUUGGUGCAACCUUUUCGCAAAAGGAAUCAGAUCAGGUAUGUUAAGGAUAUCCCUUCUUUCUUUUGGCAUGAUUCAUGCGAUACAAACGAAACGUGCAUAUGCACAAAUUCCAUGAAUGGCUCUAUUCAUAGAAGUAUUAGAGAUAUCUAUGUUCUUGAAUUUUAGUGUGUCAUAAUAUAUUAUCAUCUGUUCAUGGGUCUCAAAAAAAUAUGAAAGUUGAAAAGAGUUUACUUUAUAAUAUUACUCAAAGGAAAAAUGGUCUUAUGAGAUUCCGAAAUAUNNNNNNNNNNNNNNNNNNNNNNAAAGGUUACGGCGUUAUAUACGCACCACCACCUGAUCAGCUUGUAUAUGAUGAUGAUGUUGCCCACAGUGGCUGAAAUAUAAUUCAAACAGCAUUAUAUACGUGUAUAUAUGUAUGUAUUCAAACGACGUUAUAUACGCGUAUAUAUGUAUGUAUAUAUAUGUAUAUGGGAUAUGGGAAAGGUUAUGGUAUUAUAUACGCACCACCACCUGAUCAGCUGGUAUACGAUGAUGACUUUGCCCACAGUGGCCGAUAUGAUAUGAUGGGAUGCCCUCAGAGGCUGAAUGUAAUGAAACAUGUACCUAUGCACGACAUGAUAUUCAUACGCAUAUGCAUGACGCUAAAAGUAAUUUUUAAUUUACAGAGUUAUCCAGAUAUACCGGUUGAGUCAAUUACUCUAUAUUUCUUCCAUGCUUGUUAUGUACUUAUUUAUGUGCCUUACAUACUCAUUAUAUUAUUCGUAUUGACAUCCCUUUUGCCUGGGGAUGUUGCGUUUCAUGCCUGCAGGUCCAGAUAAAUGGGUCGAGAGCCCUCCAAGUAGGCUAUCAGCUCAGCGGAAGAUGUUGGUGCGCUCCAUUUGCUUUGGAGUUGCAUGUUUGGUUAGUAUAAUUUAGAGGCUUGUAGACAUAUGUCUUGUACGUGAAAGAUUGUACGGCCUUGUUGGCCUAUGUUUGAGUUUAUAAAAGAUCAUGUUGGCCUAUUAGGCCCGUAUGUCACGUGUAUAUGAUGAUGUAAUAAGAAAGAUACGUUACAUUGGUACUCGGUUGAGUAAGGUACCGGGUGCCUGUCGUGGCCCAUCGGUUUGGGUCUUGACAUUUGAGGUGA